Molecule: unclassified non-coding RNA, 233 nt
Filed under: plant metagenome
Description: partial contains small subunit ribosomal RNA, internal transcribed spacer 1, and 5.8S ribosomal RNA
Source: RNAcentral
UUUCCGUAGGCGAACCUGCGGAAGGAUCAUUAUUGGAUUUUGAAACUUCAGGCUGCUGCUGGCUCUCCUCGGAGGGCAUGUGCACGCUUGUUGUCCAUUAUUUCUCCCACUGUGCACAAAUUGUAGACCUUUCAGUAGGCCUAUGUUGUUUUUCACAAUCUCUGAAUGUAAUAGAAUGGUUUUGAAUCUUGGGAAAUACAAUACAACUUUCAGCAACGGAUCUCUUGGCUCUC